AGUGAACGCUGGCGGUAGGCCUAACACAUGCAAGUCGAACGGCAGCACAGUAAGAGCUUGCUCUUACGGGUGGCGAGUGGCGGACGGGUGAGGAAUACAUCGGAAUCUACUUUUUCGUGGGGGAUAACGUAGGGAAACUUACGCUAAUACCGCAUACGACCUACGGGUGAAAGCAGGGGAUCUUCGGACCUUGCGCGAUUGAAUGAGCCGAUGUCGGAUUAGCCAGUUGGCGGGGUAAAGGCCCACCAAGGCGACGAUCCGUAGCUGGUCUGAGAGGAUGAUCAGCCACACUGGAACUGAGACACGGUCCAGACUCCUACGGGAGGCAGCAGUGGGGAAUAUUGGACAAUGGGCGCAAGCCUGAUCCAGCCAUACCGCGUGGGUGAAGAAGGCCUUCGGGUUGUAAAGCCCUUUUGUUGGGAAAGAAAAGCAGCAGGUUAAUACCCCGCUGUUCUGACGGUACCCAAAGAAUAAGCACCGGAUAACUUCGUG
This 492-nucleotide ribosomal RNA is filed under the name uncultured bacterium. Its description in RNAcentral is "partial 16S ribosomal RNA". It matches the Rfam family "Bacterial small subunit ribosomal RNA", at positions 29 to 507 of the family's 1533-position model. The record is from RNAcentral.